GAAGGAGUGUUGGGUGGACUAUUGUGAGUAGGAGAAGGGGUUUUUGGAGGUGUAAUUGGUACAUAUGGUGGUUGAUUACUAGGGGAAGGAGCUUUUGGUGGAGUAUAAGGACCACUAGGGGGAUUAUAAGUAGGAGGAGUGUUGGGUGGACUACUGUGAGUAGGAGAAGGGGCUUUUGGAGGUGUAAUUGGUACAUAUGGUGGUUGGUUACUAGGGGAAGGAGAUUUUGGAGGAGUGUAAGGAACAUUAGGAGGAUUGUAAGUAGGAGAAUGUGCUUUUGGAGGAGUUGAUACAUAUGGUGGUUCAUUGCUAGGGGAAGGAGUUUUUGGGGGAGUGUAAGGAACAUUAGGAGGAUUGUGGAUAGGAGAAGGAGUUUUUGGUGGUGAAAUUGGUGCAUAUGGUGGUUGAUUGCUAGGAGAAUGAGCUUUGGGGGGUGUGUAUGGAACAUUAGGUGGAUUGUAAAUGGGAGAAGGAGUUUUAGGAGGUGUACUUUUUGGAGGUGUAUAAGGAGUGUUGGGAGGACUAUGAGUAGGAGAAGGUGUUUUUGGUGGUGUAAUUGGUACAUAAGUAGGAGGUGUAAUUUUGGGGGGUGUAUAAGGAGUAUUGGGAGGACUAUAAGUAGGAGAAGGUGAUUUUGGUGGUGUAAUUGGUACAUAAGGUGGUUGAUUGGGAGAUGGAGCUUUUGGAGGAUUGUGAAUGGGAGAAGGAGUUUUUGGAGGUGUAGGAACAUAGGGAGGUUGAUUGGUAGGAGGAGUACUUUUGGGGGGUGUAUAAGGAAUAUUGGGAGGACUAUAAUUAGGAGAUGUUUUUGGUGGUGUAAUUGGUACAUGUGGUGGUGGUUGAUUUGGAGAUGGAGCUUUUGGAGGUGUAUAAGGAACAUUAGGAGGAUUGUAAAUAGGUGAAGGAGUUUUUGGAGGUGUAGGAACAUAGGGAGGACUAUAACUAGGAGAAGGUGUUUUUGGAGGUGUUAUUGGAACAUAAGGAGAAGGAGUAUUUUUUCUCACAGCCAUCACCACAACAAUAAUUUUCUGACCCUUUUCACAAUUAUCAUCUUUUCCACUAAUGAAGUAAAAAGG
Molecule: long non-coding RNA, 1076 nt
Filed under: Cicer arietinum (chickpea)
Lineage: Eukaryota; Viridiplantae; Streptophyta; Magnoliopsida; Fabales; Fabaceae
Description: long non-coding RNA (CARI_LNC000312)
Source: RNAcentral